GGAAAGGCCCUUCGGGGUACUCGAGUGGCGAACGGGUGAGUAACACGUGGGUGAUCUGCCCUGCACUUUGGGAUAAGCCUGGGAAACUGGGUCUAAUACCGAAUAUGACCACGCUCUUCAUGGGGUGUGGUGGAAAGCUUUUGCGGUGUGGGAUGGGCCCGCGGCCUAUCAGCUUGUUGGUGGGGUAAUGGCCUACCAAGGCGACGACGGGUAGCCGGCCUGAGAGGGUGACCGGCCACACUGGGACUGAGAUACGGCCCAGACUCCUACGGGAGGCAGCAGUGGGGAAUAUUGCACAAUGGGCGCAAGCCUGAUGCAGCGACGCCGCGUGAGGGAUGACGGCCUUCGGGUUGUAAACCUCUUUCACCAGGGACGAAGCGCAAGUGACGGUACCUGGAGAAGAAGCACCGGCCAACUACGUGCCAGCAGCCGCGGUAAUACGUAGGGUGCGAGCGUUGUCCGGAAUUACUGGGCGUAAAGAGCUCGUAGGUGGUUUGUCGCGUUGUUCGUGAAAACUCACAGCUUAACUGUGGGCGUGCGGGCGAUACGGGCAGACUAGGGUACUGCAGGGGAGACUGGAAUUCCUGGUGUAGCGGUGGAAUGCGCAGAUAUCAGGAGGAACACCGGUGGCGAAGGCGGGUCUCUGGGCAGUAACUGACGCUGAGGAGCGAAAGCGUGGGGAGCGAACAGG
RNAcentral lists this ribosomal RNA (691 nucleotides) under uncultured Actinomycetes bacterium. RNAcentral's name for it is "bacterial SSU rRNA". It matches the Rfam family "Bacterial small subunit ribosomal RNA", at positions 68 to 776 of the family's 1533-position model. The record is from RNAcentral. Lineage: Bacteria; Bacillati; Actinomycetota; Actinomycetes.